This 253-nucleotide ribosomal RNA is filed under the name uncultured bacterium. RNAcentral's name for it is "partial 16S ribosomal RNA". It matches the Rfam family "Bacterial small subunit ribosomal RNA", at positions 524 to 776 of the family's 1533-position model. The record is from RNAcentral.
UACGUAGGUGACAAGCGUUGUCCGGAUUUACUGGGCGUAAAGCGCGCGCAGGCGGUCGUUCAAGUCGAGUGUGAAAGCCCCCGGCUCAACUGGGGAGGGUCAUUCGAUACUGAUCGACUCGAAGGCAGGAGAGGGAAGUGGAAUUCCCGGUGUAGUGGUGAAAUGCGUAGAUAUCGGGAGGAACACCAGUGGCGAAGGCGACUUCCUGGCCUGUUCUUGACGCUGAGACGCGAAAGCUAGGGGAGCAAACAGG